This 378-nucleotide unclassified non-coding RNA is filed under the name plant metagenome. Its description in RNAcentral is "partial contains 5.8S ribosomal RNA, internal transcribed spacer 2, and large subunit ribosomal RNA". The stretch from base 1 to 105 matches the Rfam family "5.8S ribosomal RNA", at positions 50 to 154 of the family's 154-position model. The record is from RNAcentral.
GAAAUGCGAUAAGUAAUGUGAAUUGCAGAAUUCAGUGAAUCAUCGAAUCUUUGAACGCACCUUGCGCUCCUUGGUAUUCCUUGGAGCAUGCCUGUUUGAGUAUCAUGAAAUCUUCAAAGUAUAUCUUUUGUUAACUCAAUUGGUUUCUACUUUGGUAUUGGAGGUCUUUGCAGCUUCACACCUGCUCCUCUUUGUUCAUUAGCUGGAUCUCAGUGUUAUGCUUGGUUCCACUCGGCGUGAUAAGUUAUCUAUCGCUGAGGACACUGUAAAAGGUGGCCAAGGUAAAUGCAGAUGAACCGCUUCUAAUAGUCCAUUGACUUGGACAAUACUUUUAUGAUCUGAUCUCAAAUCAGGUAUGACUACCCGCUGAACUUAAGC